GCUUAGCCAUUAACCAAGACAUUUCAACACCCAACUCCGCCAGAGAACUACAAGUAAAAACUUAAAACUCUAAGGACUUGACGGUGUCCCAUAUCAACCUAGAGGAGCCUGUCCUAUAAUCGACAACCCACGCUAUACCUUACCGCCUCUUGCAAAACAACCUAUAUACCGCCGUCGUCAGCCCACCUCCUGAGAGUCCUAAAGUGAGCUAAAAUGUAUACCACAAAAACGUCAGGUCAAGGUGUAGUAUAUGGGGCGGAAAGAGAUGGGCUACAUUCUCAAGAAUAGAGAAAACACAAAGCACAAUGAAAUACUGCCACAAGGAGGAUUUAGAAGUAAACUAGACAAGAAAAUCUAAUUGAACUAUGCUCUGGGACGCGU
Molecule: ribosomal RNA, 381 nt
Filed under: Goniurosaurus splendens
Lineage: Eukaryota; Metazoa; Chordata; Lepidosauria; Squamata; Eublepharidae
Description: partial 12S rRNA
Rfam family: Bacterial small subunit ribosomal RNA
Source: RNAcentral